UACGGGGGGAGCAAGCGUUGUUCGGAUUUACUGGGCGUAAAGAGCGCGCAGGCGGUCGCUCAAGUCGCGUGUGAAAGCCCCCGGCUCAACUGGGGAGGGUCACGCGAUACUGAUCGACUGGAAGGCAGGAGAGGGUAGUGGAAUUCCCGGUGUAGUGGUGAAAUGCGUAGAUAUCGGGAGGAACACCAGUGGCGAAGGCGACUACCUGGCCUGUUCUUGACGCUGAGGCGCGAAAGCUAGGGGAGCAAACGGG
Molecule: ribosomal RNA, 253 nt
Filed under: uncultured bacterium
Lineage: Bacteria
Description: partial 16S ribosomal RNA
Rfam family: Bacterial small subunit ribosomal RNA
Source: RNAcentral